UACGAAGGGGGCUAGCGUUGUUCGGAAUCACUGGGCGUAAAGCGCACGUAGGCGGAUCUUUAAGUCAGGGGUGAAAUCCCGAGGCUCAACCUCGGAACUGCCUUUGAUACUGGGGAUCUCGAGUCCGGGAGAGGUGAGUGGAACUGCGAGUGUAGAGGUGAAAUUCGUAGAUAUUCGCAAGAAACACCAGUGGCGAAGGCGGCUCACUGGCCCGGAACUGACGCUGAGGUGCGAAAGCGUGGGGAGCAAACAGGGAU
This 257-nucleotide ribosomal RNA is filed under the name uncultured bacterium. Its description in RNAcentral is "partial 16S ribosomal RNA". It matches the Rfam family "Bacterial small subunit ribosomal RNA", at positions 524 to 779 of the family's 1533-position model. The record is from RNAcentral.